UGGGGAAUAUUGGACAAUGGGCGCAAGCCUGAUCCAGCCAUGCCGCGUGAGUGAUGAAGGCCCUAGGGUUGUAAAGCUCUUUCACCGGUGAAGAUAAUGACGGUAACCGGAGAAGAAGCCCCGGCUAACUUCGUGCCAGCAGCCGCGGUAAUACGAAGGGGGCUAGCGUUGUUCGGAUUUACUGGGCGUAAAGCGCACGUAGGCGGACUUUUAAGUCAGGGGUGAAAUCCCGGGGCUCAACCCCGGAACUGCCUUUGAUACUGGAAGUCUUGAGUAUGGUAGAGGUGAGUGGAAUUCCGAGUGUAGAGGUAAAAUUCGUAGAUAUUCGGAGGAACACCAGUGGCGAAGGCGGCUCACUGGACCAUUACUGACGCUGAGGUGCGAAAGCGUGGGGAGCAAACAG
Molecule: ribosomal RNA, 403 nt
Filed under: Pseudomonas sp.
Lineage: Bacteria; Pseudomonadati; Pseudomonadota; Gammaproteobacteria; Pseudomonadales; Pseudomonadaceae
Also listed under: 2 other names
Description: partial 16S ribosomal RNA
Rfam family: Bacterial small subunit ribosomal RNA
Source: RNAcentral